GAUGAACGCUGGCGGCGUGCCUAAUACAUGCAAGUCGAGCGAACGGACGAGAAGCUUGCUUCUCUGAUGUUAGCGGCGGACGGGUGAGUAACACGUGGAUAACCUACCUAUAAGACUGGGAUAACUUCGGGAAACCGUAGCUAAUACCGGAUAAUAUUUUGAACCGCAUGGUUCACAAGUGAAAGACGGUCUUGCUGUCACUUAUAGAUGGAUCCGCGCUGCAUUAGCUAGUUGGUAAGGUAACGGCUUACCAAGGCAACGAUGCAUAGCCGACCUGAGAGGGUGAUCGGCCACACUGGAACUGAGACACGGUCCAGACUCCUACGGGAGGCAGCAGUAGGGAAUCUUCCGCAAAGGGCGAAAGCCUGACGGAGCAACGCCGCGUGAGUGAUGAAGGUCUUCGGAUCGUAAAACUCUGUUAUUAGGGAAGAACAUAUGUGUAAGUAACUGUGCACAUCUUGACGGUACCUAAUCAGAAAGCCACGGCUAACUACGUG
Molecule: ribosomal RNA, 497 nt
Filed under: uncultured bacterium
Lineage: Bacteria
Description: partial 16S ribosomal RNA
Rfam family: Bacterial small subunit ribosomal RNA
Source: RNAcentral